GACGAACGCUGGCGGCGUGCUUAACACAUGCAAGUCGAACGGUGAACCUCUUCGGAGGGGAUCAGUGGCGAACGGGUGAGUAACACGUGGGCAACCUGCCCCCGGCUCUGGGAUAACUCCAAGAAAUUGGGGCUAAUACCGGAUGUUCACCGCUUCCCGCAUGGGUGGUGGUGGAAAGGGUUUCCGGCUGGGGAUGGGCCCGCGGCCUAUCAGCUUGUUGGUGGGGUAGUGGCCUACCAAGGCGACGACGGGUAGCCGGCCUGAGAGGGUGACCGGCCACCAGGGGACUGGAACACGGCCCAGACCCCAACGGGGGGGAAGAGGGGGAAAUUUUGCGAAAGGGGCGGAAGCCGGACGCAGCGCCGCCGGGGGGGGGAAGACGGCCUUGGGGUUGGAAACCUUUUUCCGCAGGGACGAAGCGCAAGUGCCGGUACCUGCAAAAGAAGCCCCGGCCAACUAGGU
This 462-nucleotide ribosomal RNA is filed under the name uncultured bacterium. RNAcentral describes it as "partial 16S ribosomal RNA". It matches the Rfam family "Bacterial small subunit ribosomal RNA", at positions 28 to 506 of the family's 1533-position model. The record is from RNAcentral.